Molecule: ribosomal RNA, 238 nt
Filed under: uncultured bacterium
Lineage: Bacteria
Description: partial 16S ribosomal RNA
Rfam family: Bacterial small subunit ribosomal RNA
Source: RNAcentral
UAAAGCGCGCGUAGGCGGACUGGAAAGUUGGGGGUGAAAUCCCGGGGCUCAACCCCGGAACUGCCUCCAAAACUCCCAGUCUUGAGUUCGAGAGAGGUGAGGUGGAAUUUCCGAGUGUAGAGGUGAAAAUUCGUAGAUAUUCGGAGGAACACCAGUGGCGAAGGCGGCUCACCUGGCUCGAUACUGACGCUGAGGUGCGAAAAGUGUGGGGAGCAAACAGGAUUAGAUACCCUGGUAG